AUCACUGUAGCACAACAGAUAGUGCAUUGGACUUCUAAUUCGAAGGUCGUGGGUUUGAAUCCCACCUGAGAUG
Molecule: non-coding RNA, 73 nt
Organism: Trichonephila clavipes
Lineage: Eukaryota; Metazoa; Arthropoda; Arachnida; Araneae; Nephilidae
Source: the annotation of a GenBank genome assembly